This 119-nucleotide ribosomal RNA is filed under the name Lachnospiraceae bacterium. RNAcentral's name for it is "partial 23S ribosomal RNA". It matches the Rfam family "Bacterial large subunit ribosomal RNA", at positions 2806 to 2925 of the family's 2925-position model. The record is from RNAcentral. Lineage: Bacteria; Bacillati; Bacillota; Clostridia; Lachnospirales; Lachnospiraceae.
GAGAUAUCCCACCCAUAAGGGUAUAAGACCCCUGAAAGACUAUCAGGUUGAUAGGGCAUGAGUGUAAGUGCAGUAAUGCAUUCAGCGGAGUGUCACUAAUAGGUCGAUGGCUUGUCCUG